This is a small nuclear RNA of Fukomys damarensis (Damara mole-rat), 107 nucleotides long. The record is from Ensembl. Lineage: Eukaryota; Metazoa; Chordata; Mammalia; Rodentia; Bathyergidae.
GUACUCGCUUCGGCAGCACAUACACUAAAAUUGGAAUGAUACAGAGAAGAUUAGCAUGGCCCCUGCACAAGGAUGACAUGCAAAUUCAUGAAGUGUUCCAUAUUUUA